Molecule: transfer RNA, 72 nt
Filed under: Butyrivibrio sp. ob235
Lineage: Bacteria; Bacillati; Bacillota; Clostridia; Lachnospirales; Lachnospiraceae
Rfam family: tRNA
About the family: Transfer RNA (tRNA) molecules are approximately 80 nucleotides in length. Their secondary structure includes four short double-helical elements and three loops (D, anti-codon, and T loops).
Source: Rfam by way of RNAcentral
UGGGCGGUAGUUCAAUGGUGAGAACCGGUGUCUUAUAUGCAUCUAACCUGAGUUCGAUUCUCAGUCGCCCUA